This 2812-nucleotide ribosomal RNA is filed under the name Escherichia coli. Its description in RNAcentral is "partial 23S ribosomal RNA". It matches the Rfam family "Bacterial large subunit ribosomal RNA". Lineage: Bacteria; Pseudomonadati; Pseudomonadota; Gammaproteobacteria; Enterobacterales; Enterobacteriaceae. The record is from RNAcentral.
UGUGAGGUUAAGCGACUAAGCGUACACGGUGGAUGCCCUGGCAGUCAGAGGCGAUGAAGGACGUGCUAAUCUGCGAUAAGCGUCGGUAAGGUGAUAUGAACCGUUAUAACCGGCGAUUUCCGAAUGGGGAAACCCAGUGUGAUUCGUCACACUAUCAUUAACUGAAUCCAUAGGUUAAUGAGGCGAACCGGGGGAACUGAAACAUCUAAGUACCCCGAGGAAAAGAAAUCAACCGAGAUUCCCCCAGUAGCGGCGAGCGAACGGGGAGCAGCCCAGAGCCUGAAUCAGUGUGUGUGUUAGUGGAAGCGUCUGGAAAGGCGCGCGAUACAGGGUGACAGCCCCGUACACAAAAAUGCACAUGCUGUGAGCUCGAUGAGUAGGGCGGGACACGUGGUAUCCUGUCUGAAUAUGGGGGGACCAUCCUCCAAGGCUAAAUACUCCUGACUGACCGAUAGUGAACCAGUACCGUGAGGGAAAGGCGAAAAGAACCCCGGCGAGGGGAGUGAAAAAGAACCUGAAACCGUGUACGUACAAGCAGUGGGAGCCUCUUUAUGGGGUGACUGCGUACCUUUUGUAUAAUGGGUCAGCGACUUAUAUUCUGUAGCAAGGUUAACCGAAUAGGGGAGCCGAAGGGAAACCGAGUCUUAACUGGGCGUUAAGUUGCAGGGUAUAGACCCGAAACCCGGUGAUCUAGCCAUGGGCAGGUUGAAGGUUGGGUAACACUAACUGGAGGACCGAACCGACUAAUGUUGAAAAAUUAGCGGAUGACUUGUGGCUGGGGGUGAAAGGCCAAUCAAACCGGGAGAUAGCUGGUUCUCCCCGAAAGCUAUUUAGGUAGCGCCUCGUGAAUUCAUCUCCGGGGGUAGAGCACUGUUUCGGCAAGGGGGUCAUCCCGACUUACCAACCCGAUGCAAACUGCGAAUACCGGAGAAUGUUAUCACGGGAGACACACGGCGGGUGCUAACGUCCGUCGUGAAGAGGGAAACAACCCAGACCGCCAGCUAAGGUCCCAAAGUCAUGGUUAAGUGGGAAACGAUGUGGGAAGGCCCAGACAGCCAGGAUGUUGGCUUAGAAGCAGCCAUCAUUUAAAGAAAGCGUAAUAGCUCACUGGUCGAGUCGGCCUGCGCGGAAGAUGUAACGGGGCUAAAUCAUGCACCGAAGCUGCGGCAGCGACGCUUAUGCGUUGUUGGGUAGGGGAGCGUUCUGUAAGCCUGCGAAGGUGUGCUGUGAGGCAUGCUGGAGGUAUCAGAAGUGCGAAUGCUGACAUAAGUAACGAUAAAGCGGGUGAAAAGCCCGCUCGCCGGAAGACCAAGGGUUCCUGUCCAACGUUAAUCGGGGCAGGGUGAGUCGACCCCUAAGGCGAGGCCGAAAGGCGUAGUCGAUGGGAAACAGGUUAAUAUUCCUGUACUUGGUGUUACUGCGAAGGGGGGACGGAGAAGGCUAUGUUGGCCGGGCGACGGUUGUCCCGGUUUAAGCGUGUAGGCUGGUUUUCCAGGCAAAUCCGGAAAAUCAAGGCUGAGGCGUGAUGACGAGGCACUACGGUGCUGAAGCAACAAAUGCCCUGCUUCCAGGAAAAGCCUCUAAGCAUCAGGUAACAUCAAAUCGUACCCCAAACCGACACAGGUGGUCAGGUAGAGAAUACCAAGGCGCUUGAGAGAACUCGGGUGAAGGAACUAGGCAAAAUGGUGCCGUAACUUCGGGAGAAGGCACGCUGAUAUGUAGGUGAAGCGACUUGCUCGUGGAGCUGAAAUCAGUCGAAGAUACCAGCUGGCUGCAACUGUUUAUUAAAAACACAGCACUGUGCAAACACGAAAGUGGACGUAUACGGUGUGACGCCUGCCCGGUGCCGGAAGGUUAAUUGAUGGGGUUAGCGGUAACGCGAAGCUCUUGAUCGAAGCCCCGGUAAACGGCGGCCGUAACUAUAACGGUCCUAAGGUAGCGAAAUUCCUUGUCGGGUAAGUUCCGACCUGCACGAAUGGCGUAAUGAUGGCCAGGCUGUCUCCACCCGAGACUCAGUGAAAUUGAACUCGCUGUGAAGAUGCAGUGUACCCGCGGCAAGACGGAAAGACCCCGUGAACCUUUACUAUAGCUUGACACUGAACAUUGAGCCUUGAUGUGUAGGAUAGGUGGGAGGCUUUGAAGUGUGGACGCCAGUCUGCAUGGAGCCGACCUUGAAAUACCACCCUUUAAUGUUUGAUGUUCUAACGUGGACCCGUGAUCCGGGUUGCGGACAGUGUCUGGUGGGUAGUUUGACUGGGGCGGUCUCCUCCUAAAGAGUAACGGAGGAGCACGAAGGUUGGCUAAUCCUGGUCGGACAUCAGGAGGUUAGUGCAAUGGCAUAAGCCAGCUUGACUGCGAGCGUGACGGCGCGAGCAGGUGCGAAAGCAGGUCAUAGUGAUCCGGUGGUUCUGAAUGGAAGGGCCAUCGCUCAACGGAUAAAAGGUACUCCGGGGAUAACAGGCUGAUACCGCCCAAGAGUUCAUAUCGACGGCGGUGUUUGGCACCUCGAUGUCGGCUCAUCACAUCCUGGGGCUGAAGUAGGUCCCAAGGGUAUGGCUGUUCGCCAUUUAAAGUGGUACGCGAGCUGGGUUUAGAACGUCGUGAGACAGUUCGGUCCCUAUCUGCCGUGGGCGCUGGAGAACUGAGGGGGGCUGCUCCUAGUACGAGAGGACCGGAGUGGACGCAUCACUGGUGUUCGGGUUGUCAUGCCAAUGGCACUGCCCGGUAGCUAAAUGCGGAAGAGAUAAGUGCUGAAAGCAUCUAAGCACGAAACUUGCCCCGAGAUGAGUUCUCCCUGACUCCUUGAGAGUCC